ACCCGGCUGGCUCGGUCGGUGGAGCGUGUGACUCUUGAUCUCGGGGUUGUGAGUUUGAGCCCCACGCUGGGUG
This 73-nucleotide transfer RNA is filed under the name Felis catus (domestic cat). It matches the Rfam family "tRNA". Rfam says of the family: Transfer RNA (tRNA) molecules are approximately 80 nucleotides in length. Their secondary structure includes four short double-helical elements and three loops (D, anti-codon, and T loops). Lineage: Eukaryota; Metazoa; Chordata; Mammalia; Carnivora; Felidae. The record is from Rfam by way of RNAcentral. RNAcentral also lists the same sequence under 2 other names.